AUACUACCGGAAGGGCGAGAUACCAUGAUCAAGACGGUGGCUUUCACCAAGGGCGAGGCAACCAUGCACUCCGGUUUAUGCUGACCCUGCGAAUUCCCAAAGGUGGGAAUCUCGACUGCAUAAUGUGGUAGUGGGGGAAUGCGUUCGAGCUCUCCCCUA
Etheostoma spectabile (orangethroat darter) is the source of this 159-nucleotide small nuclear RNA. RefSeq annotates it as U1 spliceosomal RNA. The transcript has a single exon. NCBI's taxonomy places the organism in Eukaryota, Metazoa, Chordata, Actinopteri, Perciformes, Percidae. The record is from RefSeq and is a predicted model, not a curated record.